UGGGGAAUUUUGGACAAUGGGCACAAGCCUGAUCCAGCCAUGCCGCGUGUCUGAAGAAGGCCUUCGGGUUGUAAAGGACUUUUGUCAGGGAAGAAAAGGCUGUUGCUAAUACCGACAGUUGAUGACGGUACCUGAAGAAUAAGCACCGGCUAACUACGUGCCAGCAGCCGCGGUAAUACGUAGGGUGCGAGCGUUAAUCGGAAUUACUGGGCGUAAAGCGAGCGCAGACGGUUACUUAAGCAGGAUGUGAAAUCCCCGGGCUCAACCUGGGAACUGCGUUCUGAACUGGGUGACUAGAGUGUGUCAGAGGGAGGUAGAAUUCCACGUGUAGCAGUGAAAUGCGUAGAGAUGUGGAGGAAUACCGAUGGCGAAGGCAGCCUCCUGGGAUAACACUGACGUUCAUGCUCGAAAGCGUGGGUAGCAAACAGGAUUAGAUACCCUGGUAGUCCACGCCCUAAACGAUGUCAAUUAGCUGUUGGGCAACUUGAUUGCUUAGUAGCGUAGCUAACGCGUGAAAUUGACCGCCUGGGGAGUACGGUCGCAAGAUUA
Molecule: ribosomal RNA, 549 nt
Filed under: uncultured bacterium
Lineage: Bacteria
Description: bacterial SSU rRNA
Rfam family: Bacterial small subunit ribosomal RNA
Source: RNAcentral